Molecule: ribosomal RNA, 977 nt
Filed under: Alteromonas sp.
Lineage: Bacteria; Pseudomonadati; Pseudomonadota; Gammaproteobacteria; Alteromonadales; Alteromonadaceae
Description: bacterial SSU rRNA
Rfam family: Bacterial small subunit ribosomal RNA
Source: RNAcentral
UGCAGUCGAACGGAAACAUGUCUAGCUUGCUAGAUGAUGUCGAGUGGCGGACGGGUGAGUAAUGCUUGGGAACUUGCCUUUGCGAGGGGGAUAACAGUUGGAAACGACUGCUAAUACCGCAUAAUGUCUACGGACCAAACAGGGCUUCGGCUCUGGCGCAAAGAGAGGCCCAAGUGAGAUUAGCUAGUUGGUGAGGUAAAGGCUCACCAAGGCAACGAUCUCUAGCUGUUCUGAGAGGAAGAUCAGCCACACUGGGACUGAGACACGGCCCAGACUCCUACGGGAGGCAGCAGUGGGGAAUAUUGCACAAUGGGGGAAACCCUGAUGCAGCCAUGCCGCGUGUGUGAAGAAGGCCUUCGGGUUGUAAAGCACUUUCAGUUGUGAGGAAAAGUUAGUAGUUAAUACCUGCUAGCCGUGACGUUAACAACAGAAGAAGCACCGGCUAACUCCGUGCCAGCAGCCGCGGUAAUACGGAGGGUGCGAGCGUUAAUCGGAAUUACUGGGCGUAAAGCGCACGCAGGCGGUUUGUUAAGCUAGAUGUGAAAGCCCCGGGCUCAACCUGGGACGGUCAUUUAGAACUGGCAGACUAGAGUCUUGGAGAGGGGAGUGGAAUUCCAGGUGUAGCGGUGAAAUGCGUAGAUAUCUGGAGGAACAUCAGUGGCGAAGGCGACUCCCUGGCCAAAGACUGACGCUCAUGUGCGAAAGUGUGGGUAGCGAACAGGAUUAGAUACCCUGGUAGUCCACACCGUAAACGCUGUCUACUAGCUGUUUGUGACUUUAAGUCGUGAGUAGCGAAGCUAACGCGAUAAGUAGACCGCCUGGGGAGUACGGCCGCAAGGUUAAAACUCAAAUGAAUUGACGGGGGCCCGCACAAGCGGUGGAGCAUGUGGUUUAAUUCGAUGCAACGCGAAGAACCUUACCUACACUUGACAUGUUGAGAAGUUACCAGAGAUGGUUUCGUGCCUUCGGNAACUCAA